This 565-nucleotide ribosomal RNA is filed under the name uncultured bacterium. RNAcentral's name for it is "partial 16S ribosomal RNA". It matches the Rfam family "Bacterial small subunit ribosomal RNA", at positions 355 to 938 of the family's 1533-position model. The record is from RNAcentral.
UGGGGAAUAUUGGACAAUAGGGGCAACCCUGAUUCAGCCAUGCCGCGUGAGUGAUGAAGGCCCUAGGGUUGUAAAGCUCUUUUGUGCGGGAAGAUAAUGACGGUACCGCAAGAAUAAGCCCCGGCUAACUUCGUGCCAGCAGCCGCGGUAAUACGAAGGGGGCUAGCGUUGCUCGGAAUCACUGGGCGUAAAGGGUGCGUAGGCGGGUUUCUAAGUCAGAGGUGAAAGCCUGGAGCUCAAACUCCAGAACUGCCUUUGAUACUGGAAGUCUUGAGUAUGGCAGAGGUGAGUGGAACUGCGAGUGUAGAGGUGAAAUUCGUAGAUAUUCGCAAGAACACCAGUGGCGAAGGCGGCUCACUGGGCCAUUACUGACGCUGAGGCACGAAAGCGUGGGGAGCAAAACAGGAUUAGAUACCCUGGUAGUCCACGCCGUAAACGAUGAAUGCCAGCCGUUAGUGGGUUUUACUCACUAGUGGCGCAGCUAACGCUUUAAGCAUUCCGCCUGGGGAGUACGGUCGCAAGAUUAAAAACUUAAAGGAAUUGACGGGGGUCAUAGCUGUUUCCU